GCUGCGCCGGUGAGCCCCGUUCGCGGGCAAGGCGGGGCAGCUGAGGCGCUGCGGGCGUCCCCGAGCGGAGAACGGGGGCAGGUACCGCUACCAGAGAGCCCUCUGCUCCGCAGACACACCUCGGCAAGUUAGAGAUGGACAACCACCAACCGCGCCAGGGGCAAGCGCAGGAGCAUGCACUGGGGACGGGAAGCCCUGGCUCUCUGUGUAGCCUGGGGAACGGGAGAGCAGCGCUGUGCGAAGGGCCCCGGGGGUCCUGGUCGAUGGAAAGCUGAAUUAAAGUCUAAACUGCAUGUCUGAGAUGAAGAUAAAUGGUGGUGUAACUAUCAAGCUUUUUCUGUAUGACCCCAUGCACUGACCUGGAGAAGUCAAGUAUGGAAAUAGAGCCUGCUUCAGAAACCAGACUGACAAUGUGUGUUACUCAUCUGGCAGCAAUCACAGAGCUCAAAUCACCAUUCUGAUUCUUAUGGAAGAUGAUAUUCUGAUGUGUGGCUGAUUGUGUCUCCAGGAUGCAUGUUAAGGAGAGACGGGUUAGAAAUUAGUGAAUUUAACUUUCAGUGUUACUGCUGUUUUGUUACAGAACAUUGAUAUCAGCUCCCAUCAUUUCAACACACAGCUGUCUUGUUCAAAACAUCAUUAGCAAUAGCAGCCUUCCAAGGAAUUAAAAUUUUUUGUCUUUGUCUAAGCACUUUUACCUCUGUCAUGGGUUUAAUAGAGGGUUUAAAGAGUUUCCUUCUAACUCCCAUUUUGCUUAUGACUGUGUCAUCAUGGUUGACUUGCAAGACCUUCGGGGUCUGAUGCAUAUGUGAGAUACCUCAAGGCUGCAUGCUCCCUCUCCUCUCAUCCAUCAGCAGUUCAUAUGUGUAAACAGACUGGUCUGCCACCACCCACCAUGCAGACCAACAUUAUUUAUUCUGCUGUCAGCCAAUUUGAUGAUUAUUAUGGAAAUCAUGUAUACCUCUGAUGGGCAUUCCUUUCUGUCACUCCUUCACGGCACAGGCUUUACCCAAGAAAUUAUUUUAGAAAGCUGCUAUAUGUUUUGUCAGUGUUACAAAGCAUUGUAACAUGGGGCCAUUUUUUCCUGAAGUGUUCCAUCACAAAGUUGUGAGUAUGAAAUUAACAAGUAUCCUCCCCAGAAUUUGAAAUGAACGGACUCUUGUGAAUUCCAAGGAUUUUACUCUGCCACAUUUUAGUAAUCUUCACAAAUGGUCAAAUUAGCACAAAGUACUAUUUCAUUUAUGCUUAAAAAUAUGCCCUAUAAAUAAUUUAUGCUACGCACUAUCAUUUACUUGCUCUGACAAAAAAUACAGCUCAGUUAGUUUGGAGAACCAUGGAGGGCCAGAGAUAAUUGCCCAUUACAGUUUUUGGUACAGUCCAGCUCUUGUUACACUUCACUGACCACAGGUGAUAAUUGCAAUGUGUUUUUUCCUCUUGUUCUUGCUCGUGCUGUCCCACAGGUGCUAACAUUUUCUUUGCCUCAUACUAUCAUCGUCUAGCUGGAAACGUAAUUAGGCCAAAGUCUGAGGUUAUUCCCUAUCUGUAACUAAUUUAAAGUUCACAGCUUUUUCUUUUUUUUUUUUUUUUUUUCCAAACUGAAUAAAGGCUUGUUAGUACCAAUCAACAAGUUGAUUUAAUAUAUCAUCCUUUGGAGCUCAGUCCUCAUAUGAAGAAUAUGAUACUUUUUUUGAUACUGAUACUUGCACAUCCUCAUGGACUUAAUUCAGCCCAAGUGCUUUAC
Molecule: long non-coding RNA, 1738 nt
Organism: Serinus canaria (Common canary)
Lineage: Eukaryota; Metazoa; Chordata; Aves; Passeriformes; Fringillidae
Exons: 4
Source: RefSeq, a predicted model, not a curated record